Molecule: unclassified non-coding RNA, 343 nt
Filed under: soil metagenome
Description: partial contains 5.8S ribosomal RNA, internal transcribed spacer 2, and large subunit ribosomal RNA
Rfam family: 5.8S ribosomal RNA (bases 1-120)
Source: RNAcentral
GAUGAAGAACGUAGCGAAAUGCGAUAAGUAAUGUGAAUUGCAGAAUCCAGUGAAUCAUCGAAUCUUUGAACGCACAUUGCGCCCGCCAGCAUUCUGGCGGGCAUGCCUGUUCGAGCGUCAUUUCAACCCUCGACCUCCCUUUGGGGAAGUCGGCGUUGGGGACCGGCAGCACACCGCCGGCCCUGAAAUGGAGUGGCGGCCCGUCCGCGGCGACCUCUGCGUAGUAAUCCAACUCGCACCGGAACCCCGACGCGGCCACGCCGUAAAACACCCAACUUCUGAACGUUGACCUCGAAUCAGGUAGGACUACCCGCUGAACUUAAGAAUAUCAAUAAGCGGAGGA